RNAcentral lists this long non-coding RNA (1421 nucleotides) under Mus caroli (Ryukyu mouse). RNAcentral describes it as "lncRNA (MGP_CAROLIEiJ_G0006745.1)". The record is from RNAcentral. Lineage: Eukaryota; Metazoa; Chordata; Mammalia; Rodentia; Muridae.
GCCCCGCGCCCCCUUACCCGUGGCGACCGCUACGCUGGCCACGCUCCAGCGAAAUGAGGUAGGCGGCAAGUUUGGCGUCGCUCCAGCCGCUGCGGCGUCUCAGGUCCACCCAGGGGCCGUGCGCCUCGCCCAGGACUGCGACCCCACAUUCCUGCUGCCGUGGGUAGUGGACGAAGAUGCGCUGGAUAACGUUGCGGGGCCGGAAGACCUCCUUGGGGAAAACAUCCAGCAGCAGCUGGGCUAGUGCCUGGUACAUGGUAACUGCCCAACACCGACUAACGGAGUCGGAAUAAGCAAGUUUCUACAAAACAGAGAGAAAUCUGAAUAGCCAGGUCGCGUGUGUGUAUGCGUGUGGGCUGGCACGAUUCCGGGUCUCUGAGAGGUCUCAUUGGAAGGUUCCAAUGCCUGCGUCACGGACAAGAUGUGUGGCCCAAGUCCGCGGUCCCAUCUGUGAAACGGAACGCCUGCAGCAAGAGGUGCCCAGCAACCUUUCCAGGCACGUUCCCAAGCCUUCACCCCAAAAGGUCACAGUGUCCCGACCCUGAGGCCGAGUUGAAGGUCAUCCUCCCCGGCUCUACCAGGCCUGGAAGUGGACGGCCCGAAUCCCAGACAGUCCCAUAGACCUCCCACGCGCGACCCACCUACUCACGUGGCCAGCCGCAGACCCGAGCCGGCUCCGUGGGACCGCUGGGCGCUGUCAUGUUGAGCUAUGGAGCUUCCGGUUACGAGUCGAAGGUGACAGCAAAUCAGAAGAGCCUGUGACGAUAGGUCCCGCCCUCAAGAAGAGAUCCACCAAUAGGAAGGGGGAAGACGCUGGUUUCUCCUCAGGAGCAGGCCCUGCGGGUCACCGAGCUCCAGAAGCCUGGAGACUUUGGGUACCAGCGCGGAGGCGCUGGAGCGGGUGCCCCGGCGUCCAUCCAGUCCAACUUUCUCCGCGGUGUGGUAAAUUAUUAUUAUUAUUGUUACGGACCGGAAGCACCACAUCCGGUUCGGAGCCCAGGGCGGCUUGCGUGCUAAGCAAGCACUCUACCGCUGUCAACUAAGCCGCAGCCCCGAGUCCCGGGAUGCAUUCUUUUUACUAAAGAGGUUUUUUAGUUUGGCUGGUUGAGUUGUUUGAGUCAGGGUCUUGCAGUGGUACUCAGACUGUUCUCAAAACCCUGGAUUCCAGAGAUCCUCGGGGCUCAGCCUCCCGAAUAGCUGGAACUUCAGCUGGGCAACACUGCCAACAGCUUUAACAGAAUGUCAAGCUGUGUUUAUUUUUAUUGUGUGUUACGUGUGUAAGUCUAUGUGAGCAUGUCCGUGUGGAAGUCAGAGGGCAGCUUAGGGGGAAUGUUCUUUCCAUGUGGGUACUGGGGAUGAAACGUGGGUCAUCAGGCUUGGCUGCGAGCACUUUUAACGCCCUUUAAUAAAAAUGUUUGAAG